CCAGACUCCUACGGGAGGCAGCAGUGGGGAAUAUUGCGCAAUGGGCGAAAGCCUGACGCAGCGACGCCGCGUGAGGGAUGAAGGUCUUCGGAUCGUAAACCUCUGUCAGCAGGGAAGAACGGUCACUGUGCUAAUCAGCAGUGAAUUGACGGUACCUGAGUAAGAAGCCCCGGCUAACUACGUGCCAGCAGCCGCGGUAAUACGUAGGGGGCAAGCGUUAUCCGGAUUUACUGGGUGUAAAGGGAGCGUAGACGGCGAUGCAAGUCUGAAGUGAAAGCCCGGGGCUCAACCCCGGGACUGCUUUGGAAACUGUAUGGCUGGAGUGCUGGAGAGGCAAGCGGAAUUCCUAGUGUAGCGGUGAAAUGCGUAGAUAUUAGGAAGAACACCAGUGGCGAAGGCGGCUUGCUGGACAGUAACUGACGUUGAGGCUCGAAAGCGUGGGGAGCAAACAGGAUUAGAUACCCUAGUA
RNAcentral lists this ribosomal RNA (469 nucleotides) under uncultured bacterium. RNAcentral's name for it is "bacterial SSU rRNA". It matches the Rfam family "Bacterial small subunit ribosomal RNA", at positions 331 to 792 of the family's 1533-position model. The record is from RNAcentral.